RNAcentral lists this ribosomal RNA (698 nucleotides) under Bacillus sp. (in: firmicutes). RNAcentral's name for it is "bacterial SSU rRNA". It matches the Rfam family "Bacterial small subunit ribosomal RNA", at positions 74 to 755 of the family's 1533-position model. Lineage: Bacteria; Bacillati; Bacillota; Bacilli; Caryophanales; Bacillaceae. The record is from RNAcentral.
GGGAGCUUGCUCCCUGAUGUCAGCGGCGGACGGGUGAGUAACACGUGGGUAACCUGCCUGUAAGACUGGGAUAACUCCGGGAAACCGGGGCUAAUACCGGAUGCUUGAUUGAACCGCAUGGUUCAAUUAUAAAAGGUGGCUUUUAGCUACCACUUACAGAUGGACCCGCGGCGCAUUAGCUAGUUGGUGAGGUAACGGCUCACCAAGGCAACGAUGCGUAGCCGACCUGAGAGGGUGAUCGGCCACACUGGGACUGAGACACGGCCCAGACUCCUACGGGAGGCAGCAGUAGGGAAUCUUCCGCAAUGGACGAAAGUCUGACGGAGCAACGCCGCGUGAGUGAUGAAGGUUUUCGGAUCGUAAAACUCUGUUGUUAGGGAAGAACAAGUACCGUUCGAAUAGGGCGGUACCUUGACGGUACCUAACCAGAAAGCCACGGCUAACUACGUGCCAGCAGCCGCGGUAAUACGUAGGUGGCAAGCGUUGUCCGGAAUUAUUGGGCGUAAAGCGCGCGCAGGCGGUUUCUUAAGUCUGAUGUGAAAGCCCCCGGCUCAACCGGGGAGGGUCAUUGGAAACUGGGGAACUUGAGUGCAGAAGAGGAGAGUGGAAUUCCACGUGUAGCGGUGAAAUGCGUAGAGAUGUGGAGGAACACCAGUGGCGAAGGCGACUCUCUGGUCUGUAACUGACGCUGAGGCGCG